AACUUUUGACAAUGGAUCUCUUGGUUCUCGCAUCGAUGAAGAACGCAGCGAAAUGCGAUAAGUAGUGUGAAUUGCAGAAUUCAGUGAAUCAUCGAAUCUUUGAACGCACAUUGCGCCUCCUGGUAUUCCGGGAGGCAUGCCUGUUCGAGCGUCAUUAAAUACCUCUCAAGCAGAUUUGCUUGGUCUUGGAAGAUGAGUUUGCUUGCAUUCUCCCUUCUGAAAUUCAAAGGCGGAUGAUCUCAUAUCCCCAGGCGUAGUAAGAUUAUCUUUUCGCAUGGUGUGUGUGAUAGUCCAGCCGUCAACCCCCAAUUUUUUCAAGGUUGACCUCGGAUCAGGUAGGGAUACCCGCUGAACUUAAGCAUAUCAAUAAGCGGAGGCU
RNAcentral lists this unclassified non-coding RNA (379 nucleotides) under uncultured Pyronemataceae. RNAcentral describes it as "sequence contains ITS2". The stretch from base 1 to 154 matches the Rfam family "5.8S ribosomal RNA". Lineage: Eukaryota; Fungi; Ascomycota; Pezizomycetes; Pezizales; Pyronemataceae. The record is from RNAcentral.